Molecule: ribosomal RNA, 456 nt
Filed under: Candidatus Kaiserbacteria bacterium RIFCSPHIGHO2_02_FULL_55_25
Lineage: Bacteria; Candidatus Kaiseribacteriota
Description: bacterial SSU rRNA
Rfam family: Bacterial small subunit ribosomal RNA
Source: RNAcentral
UUAGAGUUUGAUCCUAGCUCAGGGUGAAUGCUGGCGGUAUGGAUAAGGCAUGCAAGUCGAAUGGGUUUAGACCCAUGGCAGACGAGGUAGUAACACGUAGGAACGUACCCGGAAGUCGGGCAUAACCGGUCGAAAGAUCGGAUAAUUCCCGAUAUGUCGCAAGAUGAAAGAUUUAUCGCUCCCGGAGCGGCCUGCGUAAUAUCAGCUAGUUGGUGAGGUAAUGGCUCACCAAGGCUAUGACGUUUAGGGGACCUGAGAGGGUGACCCCCACCGAUGAUACUGAGACACGGAUCAUACCCCUACGGGGGGCUGCAGCCGAGAAUAUUCGACAAUGGGCGAAAGCCUGAUCGAGCGAUACCGCGUGGUGGAUGAAGCGAUUCGUCGCGUAAACAUCUUUUAUGAGGGAGGAAGUUAUUGACGUUACCUCAUGAAUAAGGGGCUCCUAACUCUGUGCCA